RNAcentral lists this ribosomal RNA (1392 nucleotides) under uncultured marine bacterium. Its description in RNAcentral is "16S ribosomal RNA". It matches the Rfam family "Bacterial small subunit ribosomal RNA". The record is from RNAcentral.
ACGCUGGCGGCACGCCUAACACAUGCAAGUCGAACGAAGUAGCAAUACUUAGUGGCAGACGGGUGAGUAACAUGUAGGUAUCUACCCUUUGGCCUGGAAUAACACGAGGAAACUUGUGCUAAUACCGGAUAAGUCUUUACGGAGAAAGCUUUAUGCACCAUUGGAUGAGCCUGCACUUGAUUAGUUUGUUGGUGGGGUAAUGGCCUACCAAGACUGUGAUCAAUAGCUGAUUUGAGAGGAUGAUCAGCCACAUUGGGACUGAGACACGGCCCAAACUCCUACGGGAGGCAGCAGUGGGGAAUCUUGCACAAUGGAGGAAACUCUGAUGCAGCGAUGCCGCGUGAGUGAAGAAGGCCUUUGGGUUGUAAAGCUCUUUCGUCGGGGAAGAAAAUGACUGUACCCGAAUAAGAAGGUCCGGCUAACUUCGUGCCAGCAGCCGCGGUAAUACGAAGGGACCUAGCGUAGUUCGGAAUUACUGGGCUUAAAGAGUUCGUAGGUGGUUGAAAAAGUUAGUGGUGAAAUCCCAGAGCUUAACUCUGGAACUGCCAUUAAAACUUUUCAGCUAGAGUAUGAUAGAGGAAAGCAGAAUUUCUAGUGUAGAGGUGAAAUUCGUAGAUAUUAGAAAGAAUACCAAUUGCGAAGGCAGCUUUCUGGAUCAUUACUGACACUGAGGAACGAAAGCAUGGGUAGCGAAGAGGAUUAGAUACCCUCGUAGUCCAUGCCGUAAACGAUGUGUGUUAGACGUUGGAAAUUUAUUUUCAGUGUCGCAGCGAAAGCGAUAAACACACCGCCUGGGGAGUACGACCGCAAGGUUAAAACUCAAAUGAAUUGACGGGGACCCGCACAAGUAGUGGAGCAUGUGGUUUAAUUCGAAGAUACGCGCAGAACCUUACCAACACUUGACAUGUUCGUCGCGACUCUAAGAGAUUAGAGUUUUCGGUUCGGCCGGACGAAACACAGGUGCUGCAUGGCUGUCGUCAGCUCGUGUCGUGAGAUGUUGGGUUAAGUCCCGCAACGAGCGCAACCCUCACUUUUAGUUGCCAUCAUUAAGUUGGGCACUCUGAAAGAACUGCCAGUGAUAAGCUGGAGGAAGGUGGGGAUGACGUCAAGUCCUCAUGGCCCUUACGUGUUGGGCUACACACGUGCUACAAUGGUAUCUACAACAGGAAGCAAGACUGCGAGGUCAAGCAAAUCCUUAAAAGAUACCUCAGUUCGAAUUGCACUCUGCAACUCGAGUGCAUGAAGCUGGAAUUACUAGUAAUCGUGGAUCAGCGUGCCACGGUGAAUGCGUUCCCGGGUCUUGUACACACCGCCCGUCACACCAUGGGAGUUGGUUCUACCUUAAGGCAAGGUUUCAAACCCUUGACCACGGUAUAGUCAGCGACUGGGGUG